Molecule: ribosomal RNA, 207 nt
Filed under: uncultured bacterium
Lineage: Bacteria
Description: partial 16S ribosomal RNA
Rfam family: Bacterial small subunit ribosomal RNA
Source: RNAcentral
UCUGUAGGCGGUGUGGCAAGUCGGAAGUGAAAUCCCGGGGCUCAACCCCGGGGCUGCUCCCGAAACUGCCAUGCUUGAGUGCGGGAGAGGGGAGUGGAAUUGCCGGUGUAGCGGUGAAAUGCGUAGAUAUCGGCAGGAACACCGGAGGCGAAGGCGGCUCCCUGGACCGCAACUGACGCUGAGAGACGAAAGCUGGGGGAGCAAACA